GCUCCGUUAGCUCAGUCGGUAGAGCAUUUGACUUUUAAUCAAAGGGUCUGGAGUUCGAAUCUCCAACGGGGCA
RNAcentral lists this transfer RNA (73 nucleotides) under Clostridium sp. CAG:302. It matches the Rfam family "tRNA". Rfam says of the family: Transfer RNA (tRNA) molecules are approximately 80 nucleotides in length. Their secondary structure includes four short double-helical elements and three loops (D, anti-codon, and T loops). Further hydrogen bonds mediate the characteristic L-shaped molecular structure. tRNAs have two regions of fundamental functional importance: the anti-codon, which is responsible for specific mRNA codon recognition, and the 3' end, to which the tRNAs corresponding amino acid is attached (by aminoacyl-tRNA synthetases). tRNAs cope with the degeneracy of the genetic code in two manners: having more than one tRNA (with a specific anti-codon) for a particular amino acid; and 'wobble' base-pairing, i.e. permitting non-standard base-pairing at the 3rd anti-codon position. The record is from Rfam by way of RNAcentral. Lineage: Bacteria; Bacillati; Bacillota; Clostridia; Eubacteriales; Clostridiaceae.